This 497-nucleotide ribosomal RNA is filed under the name uncultured bacterium. RNAcentral describes it as "partial 16S ribosomal RNA". It matches the Rfam family "Bacterial small subunit ribosomal RNA", at positions 28 to 507 of the family's 1533-position model. The record is from RNAcentral.
GAUGAACGCUGGCGGCGUGCCUAAUACAUGCAAGUCGAGCGAACAGAUGAGGAGCUUGCUCCUCUGACGUUAGCGGCGGACGGGUGAGUAACACGUGGAUAACCUACCUAUAAGACUGGGAUAACUUCGGGACACCGGAGCUAAUACCGGAUAAUAUAUUGAACCGCAUGGUUCAAUAGUGAAAGACGGUUUUGCUGUCACUUAUAGAUGGAUCCGCGCCGCAUUAGCUAGUUGGUAAGGUAACGGCUUACCAAGGCAACGAUGCGUAGCCGACCUGAGAGGGUGAUCGGCCACCCUGGAACUGAGACACGGUCCAGACUCCUACGGGAGGCAGCAGUAGGGAAUCUUCCGCAAUGGGCGAAAGCCUGACGGAGCAACGCCGCGUGAGUGAUGAAGGUCUUCGGAUCGUAAAACUCUGUUAUUAGGGAAGAACAAAUGUGUAAGUAACUAUGCACGUCUUGACGGUACCUAAUCAGAAAGCCACGGCUAACUACGUG